UGAUAAUUUCCUUGGCGUCAGGAAAUUUAUCCCACCCGAGGAGUAAUGCUGUUGGCUGCUGUAAUUCCAUUAUUACGGUUUUUCAUCAUGAACAUUUCAAUGUGCUUCUUAGAAAAAAUCAUGCAAGAUCCCCACGGACAUCCUUGAGCAAUUGAAUGCUGGAUUUUGCCCAUGACAGAAGAAGGACUUCCACCAAUGUUCUGCUCCAUCCUUAUUUUCAAGACAUACGCUCAUCCAGCUUCACUGCUUCAGUGCUUCUUUGCUGCUUCACUGGAGAGUUAGUUCACUUCAGUUGCUGUGACACACCUGCAGUCACUCACAACGGGAUUAUGACCAGGUAAUGCAGAAAAGACGUCGAUAAGAUGGACAUCAAAACAUCUCCGUUAUCUCCAAAAUGUCAGCGCGGAUCAUCAUUUGUUGUUGGUAAUAUUUGUGUUUGUGUUAGUUAACCCGUUGUCUGCCACGCCUUUGUUCUCCCCUUGCUCCUUUGCACGGGUCGCGCUGGUCGGCCUCGUGGUUUACAAGCCGUGGGGUCGGAAUGUCGCCAAGCCCAAAAUUUGCCGCAAGGCAAGCCUAUUAGGCAAUGCACAAUAGUUCCCCCUUGUCGAUGCGGUGACUUGUCAGCAAUGACAAGCCCCACCUUGGUCAUGGAUCCUUCAGACAUGGCGCGUAGAGAGUAGAGAACAACCUACGGG
Daphnia pulicaria is the source of this 695-nucleotide long non-coding RNA. RefSeq lists it as uncharacterized. The record is from RefSeq and is a predicted model, not a curated record. Lineage: Eukaryota; Metazoa; Arthropoda; Branchiopoda; Diplostraca; Daphniidae. The transcript has 3 exons.